RNAcentral lists this long non-coding RNA (636 nucleotides) under Phoenix dactylifera (date palm). RNAcentral describes it as "long non-coding RNA (PDAC_LNC015252)". Lineage: Eukaryota; Viridiplantae; Streptophyta; Magnoliopsida; Arecales; Arecaceae. The record is from RNAcentral.
CCGCAGAAGUAAAGUCGUCAUUGGGUCCUCACCUAACAGUUAUUGGCGCCCAACCCCACCUUUACCCCUACAACAUCUCAUGCCUAAUAGAGAGGUCCAAUCCCCCCGUGCAACUUGCCCAUUGUAUCCAGCCGAGACAAAUCAACGCCGGAAAGACCUUAGCAGCUCUACUACGGUGGAAGACCGCUAGACUUAAUAUUUUCGAGGAGAUUUAAUUUAGGUCUCUUUCAUUUAAUUAUCUACAUCUCAUGCAAAUAAUUAUCUACCCGCUAUGCAUAAACAUAAAUAUAAACAACUAGACAUAAUAACAAAAAUUAAACCGGUGAUGAUCAUGGAUCCAGGAUGGGGUCAUAGUACAAGCACAUGCACGUCAAUUGGUUAGAUCGUCUUCAACUCUUGACUCGAUCUUGAGCACCCUUGGUCCAAUUGUGAUCAACUCCUUGAUCCAUCUUCAAUCAACCCUUGAUCUCAAUCCGCGCAAGGCGUGCUUGUAGAGGCAUGCAUCGAUCAACCAUUGACGUGCAAACACAUCACAGAUUACAUUCCAGAUAAAUUUUAAAAAUAAAAGAAUAAUUACAACCCUUUUUCAUGAGACACGCAGAUCUCUAAUACAUCAAUAUAAGAUGCAUGCAGGCA